Molecule: long non-coding RNA, 517 nt
Organism: Heterocephalus glaber (naked mole-rat)
Lineage: Eukaryota; Metazoa; Chordata; Mammalia; Rodentia; Bathyergidae
Source: RefSeq, a predicted model, not a curated record
UCCCGCGCUCCGUGGCUGGGGCGGGGCUGCGCGUGAGGGUGGGGCGCGGGCCGAGGCGAGACGUGGCGGACCAGGCCGCCGGAGCAGUGCCUGGGUUUCAGCCUUGUGGCUCAGUUGCCUUCGCAGACCGGAGCAGUGUGGAGGGGCUGAAAAGGACGAUGAGGACACCACCUGGGAGAGAUGGAGAUGCUUCUAUGGGCCACAAGUGGCUUUCAAGGAAGCCUUGAUUUCUAGAUGUGUUUUCUGCCAACUCAAUUUCCUGAAGACAAAAUUGGUCCACUAGAAGAGUCCAGAUUGUCUUUGAAAGAAUGGCAUGAGGAGAAGAAACAAACGGUUUAUAAGAUUUUUGGAAUAUCUACAGAAAAUGCAGAUGGCUUGUGGCACGAAGAUGAAGCAUCCAUAUGGUUUCCUGACUUAUUUUCUGACAUUGAGACUUGUAUAUAUCUUGAGUGUGUAUAAGCAAAGAGUGGCUGUACUUUUUUAAAAGAUGUAUUUAUUAAUCAGUGUCCUCUGCAUU